This 220-nucleotide ribosomal RNA is filed under the name uncultured bacterium. RNAcentral describes it as "partial 16S ribosomal RNA". It matches the Rfam family "Bacterial small subunit ribosomal RNA", at positions 1281 to 1500 of the family's 1533-position model. The record is from RNAcentral.
UAACGUCCCAGUUCGGAUUGCAGUCUGCAACUCGACUGCAUGAAGCUGGAAUCGCUAGUAAUCGCGAAUCAGAAUGUCGCGGUGAAUACGUUCCCGGGUCUUGUACACACCGCCCGUCACACCAUGGGAGUUGGUAACGCCCGAAGUCAGUGCCCCAACCUUAGGGAGGGAGCUGCCGAAGGCGGGACCGAUAACUGGGGUGAAGUCGUAACAAGGUAAC